RNAcentral lists this unclassified non-coding RNA (291 nucleotides) under Hevea brasiliensis (rubber tree). Lineage: Eukaryota; Viridiplantae; Streptophyta; Magnoliopsida; Malpighiales; Euphorbiaceae. The record is from RNAcentral.
AUUAGAACCAACAUGCAAACCCACCAAAAAAGCAUUAAACAGAAUAAAAGAAAAAAGAACAUGCCCAAAUUCAGAUAUCAAGAUCCAAGAAUGCAAUGAAGUGGAAAGAUUAAAACUUGUGUUGCCAAUAUAAUAAUCAUGAUAUGUAGAGAGCACAUAAACUAUUUAUCAACUAACAAGAAACAAGAAAAAGGGAAUAGAAAGCAACAUUCCCCGAUUCAGUUGUCAAGAGAUCCCAAAUUCAGUCAUCAGUAUUCGCAAGAAAGUGAGAACAAAUUCAUUGGAGUGAGA